This 352-nucleotide ribosomal RNA is filed under the name uncultured bacterium. Its description in RNAcentral is "bacterial SSU rRNA". It matches the Rfam family "Bacterial small subunit ribosomal RNA", at positions 8 to 350 of the family's 1533-position model. The record is from RNAcentral.
AGAGUCUGAUCAUGGCUCAGGAUGAACGCUAGCUACAGGCUUAACACAUGCAAGUCGAGGGGCAGCGGGAUUGAAGCUUGCUUCAAUUGCCGGCGACCGGCGCACGGGUGAGUAACGCGUAUCCAACCUUCCGUACACUCAGGGAUAGCCUUUCGAAAGAAAGAUUAAUACCUGAUGGUAUGAUGAAAUUGCAUGAUAGCAUCAUUAAAGAUUUAUCGGUGUACGAUGGGGAUGCGUUCCAUUAGGUAGUAGGCGGGGUAACGGCCACCUAGCCUACGAUGGAUAGGGGUUCUGGAGAGGAAGGUCCCCCACAUUGGAACUGAGACACGGUCCAAACUCCGUACGGGAGGCA